This 467-nucleotide ribosomal RNA is filed under the name uncultured bacterium. Its description in RNAcentral is "partial 16S ribosomal RNA". It matches the Rfam family "Bacterial small subunit ribosomal RNA", at positions 29 to 507 of the family's 1533-position model. The record is from RNAcentral.
ACGAACGCUGGCGGCGUGCUUAACACAUGCAAGUCGAACGGAAAGGCCCUGCUUUUGUGGGGUGCUCGAGUGGCGAACGGGUGAGUAACACGUGAGUAACCUGCCCUUGACUUUGGGAUAACUUCAGGAAACUGGGGCUAAUACCGGAUAGGAGCUCCUGCUGCAUGGUGGGGGUUGGAAAGUUUCGGCGGUUGGGGAUGGACUCGCGGCUUAUCAGCUUGUUGGUGGGGUAGUGGCUUACCAAGGCUUUGACGGGUAGCCGGCCUGAGAGGGUGACCGGCCACAUUGGGACUGAGAUACGGCCCAGACUCCUACGGGAGGCAGCAGUGGGGAAUAUUGCACAAUGGGCGGAAGCCUGAUGCAGCAACGCCGCGUACGGGAUGACGGCCUUCGGGUUGUAAACCGCUUUCGCCUGUGACGAAGCGUGAGUGACGGUAAUGGGUAAAGAAGCACCGGCUAACUACGUG